Molecule: ribosomal RNA, 1400 nt
Filed under: uncultured bacterium
Lineage: Bacteria
Description: 16S ribosomal RNA
Rfam family: Bacterial small subunit ribosomal RNA
Source: RNAcentral
UCGAAGGAAAGAAAGAUAGACUUACAACAAUGGCUUUAGUGGCGGACUGGUGAGUAACGCGUGAGCAACCUGCCUAUUAGAGGGGAAUAACAGUGAGAAAUCAUUGCUAAUACCGCAUAUACCAUACAUAUUGCAUGAUAAGUAUGGGAAAGGAGCAAUCCGCUAAUAGAUGGGCUCGCGUCUGAUUAGAUAGUUGGUGGGGUAACGGCCUACCAAGUCAACGAUCAGUAGCCGGACUGAGAGGUUGAACGGCCACAUUGGGACUGAGAUACGGCCCAGACUCCUACGGGAGGCAGCAGUCGGGAAUAUUGCGCAAUGGAGGAAACUCUGACGCAGUGACGCCGCGUAUAGGAAGAAGGUCUUCGGAUUGUAAACUAUUGUCGUUAGGGAAGAAAAAUGACAGUACCUGAAGAAGAAGGACCGGCUAACUACGUGCCAGCAGCCGCGGUAAUACGUAGGGUCCGAGCGUUAUCCGGAUUUACUGGGUGUAAAGGGCGAGUAGACGGAACUGCAAGUCAGAUGUGAAAUGCUAGAGCUCAACUUUAGAACUGCAUCUGAAACUGUGGAACUAGAGUGCAGGAGAGGUAAGCGGAAUUCCUAGUGUGGCGGUGAAAUGCGUAGAUAUUAGGAGGAACACCAGUGGCGAAGGCGGCUUACUGGACUGUAACUGACGUUGAGGCGCGAAAGUGUGGGGAGCAAACAGGAUUAGAUACCCUGGUAGUCCACACUGUAAACGAUGGAUACUAGGUGUAGGCAUGAAUGUGUCUGUGCCGUCGCAAACGCAGUAAGUAUCCCACCUGGGGAGUACGGCCGCAAGGUUGAAACUCAAAGGAAUUGACGGGGGCCCGCACAAGCAGUGGAGUAUGUGGUUUAAUUCGACGCAACGCGAAGAACCUUACCAAGACUUGACAUAUACGGGAAUACUUAAGAAAUUAAGUAGUCUUUCGGGACUCGUAUACAGGUGAUGCAUGGUUGUCGUCAGCUCGUGUCGUGAGAUGUUGGGUUAAGUCCCGCAACGAGCGCAACCCCUAUUGUUAGUUGCUACGCAAGAGCACUCUAGCGAGACUGCCGUUGACAAAACGGAGGAAGGUGGGGACGACGUCGAAUCAUCAUGCCCCUUAUGUCCUGGGCUACACACGUAAUACAAUGGCGGUCAACAAAGGGAGGCAAAGCCGCGAGGCAGAGCGAACCCCAAAAAGCCGUCCCAGUUCGGAUCGCAGGCUGCAACCCGCCUGCGUGAAGUCGGAAUCGCUGGUAAUCGCGGAUCAGAAUGCCGCGGUGAAUACGUUCCCGGGCCUUGUACACACCGCCCGUCACACCAUGAGAGUCGGGAACACCCGAAGCCCAUAGCCUAACCGCAAGGAGGGCGUGGUCGAAGGUGGGUUCGAUAAUUGGGGUGA